UACCUUUCGGUACGGAAAACAGUUGGAAACGACUGCUAAUACCGUAUACGCCCUGAGGGGGAAAGAUUUAUCGCCGAGAGAUUGGCCCGCGUUGGAUUAGCUAGUUGGUGGGGUAAUGGCCUACCAAGGCGACGAUCCAUAGCUGGUCUGAGAGGAUGAUCAGCCACACUGGGACUGAGACACGGCCCAGACUCCUACGGGAGGCAGCAGUGGGGAAUAUUGGACAAUGGGCGCAAGCCUGAUCCAGCCAUGCCGCGUGAGUGAUGAAGGCCCUAGGGUUGUAAAGCUCUUUCGCCGGUGAAGAUAAUGACGGUAACCGGUAAAGAAGCCCCGGCUAACUUCGUGCCAGCAGCCGCGGUAAUACGAAGGGGGCUAGCGUUGUUCGGAAUUACUGGGCGUAAAGCGCACGUAGGCUGACUUUUAAGUCAGGGGUGAAAUCCCGGGGCUCAACCUCGGAACUGCCUUUGAUACUGGAAGUCUUGAGUCCGAGAGAGGUGAGUGGAACUCCGAGUGUAGAGGUGAAAUUCGUAGAUAUUCGGAAGAACACCAGUGGCGAAGGCGGCUCACUGGCUCGGUACUGACGCUGAGGUGCGAAAGCGUGGGGAGCAACAGGAUUAGAUACCCUGGUACUCCACGCCGUAAACGAUGGAAGCUAGCUGUCAGGUAGCAUGCUAUUUGGUGGCGCAGCUAACGCAAUAAGCUUCCCGCCUGGGGGAGUACGGUCGCAAGAUUAAAACUUCAAGGAAUUGACGGGGCCCCGCACAACCGGGGGAGCAUGUGGGUUUAAUUCCAAGCAACGCGCACAAUGCUUACCAAGCCCUUGACAUGUGCGGGCACACACCAGAGAUGGUGUAUUCUCUUUCGGGGACCGAAACCAAAAGGUGCUGCAUGGGCGUGUCG
RNAcentral lists this ribosomal RNA (900 nucleotides) under Stappia indica. RNAcentral's name for it is "bacterial SSU rRNA". It matches the Rfam family "Bacterial small subunit ribosomal RNA", at positions 127 to 1057 of the family's 1533-position model. The record is from RNAcentral. Lineage: Bacteria; Pseudomonadati; Pseudomonadota; Alphaproteobacteria; Hyphomicrobiales; Stappiaceae.